CCUACGGGGGGCUGCAGUGGGGAAUAUUGGACAAUGGGCGAAAGCCUGAUCCAGCCAUGCCGCGUGUGUGAAGAAGGCCUUCGGGUUGUAAAGCACUUUCAGUGGGGAAGAAAGCCUUGGGGCUAAUACCCUCGAGGAAGGACAUCACCCACAGAAGAAGCACCGGCUAACUCCGUGCCAGCAGCCGCGGUAAUACGGAGGGUGCGAGCGUUAAUCGGAAUUACUGGGCGUAAAGCGCGCGUAGGCGGUCUGAUAAGCCGGUUGUGAAAGCCCCGGGCUCAACCUGGGAACGGCAUCCGGAACUGUCAGGCUAGAGUGCAGGAGAGGAAGGUAGAAUUCCCGGUGUAGCGGUGAAAUGCGUAGAGAUCGGGAGGAAUACCAGUGGCGAAGGCGGCCUUCUGGAAUGACACUGACGCUGAGGUGCGAAAGCGUGGGUAGCAAACAGGAUUAGAUACCCCGGUAGUC
Molecule: ribosomal RNA, 465 nt
Filed under: Vreelandella stevensii
Lineage: Bacteria; Pseudomonadati; Pseudomonadota; Gammaproteobacteria; Oceanospirillales; Halomonadaceae
Description: partial 16S ribosomal RNA
Rfam family: Bacterial small subunit ribosomal RNA
Source: RNAcentral